RNAcentral lists this unclassified non-coding RNA (364 nucleotides) under uncultured bacterium. RNAcentral describes it as "contains 16S-23S intergenic spacer region". The record is from RNAcentral.
UCCCGGUUGGCCCGGGCAGUCUCGCAUGAAAAAUACAACAUACGAUAAGGGUUGCGCUCGUUGCGGGACUUAACCCAACAUUUCACAACACGAGCUGACGACGGCCAUGCAGCACCUGUCACUGAGCUCCCGAAGGCACUCCUCUAUUUCUAGAAGAUUCUCAGGAUGUCAAGCCUUGGUAAGGUUCUACGCGUACCGUCAUAUUAAACCACAUCAUCCUCCGCUUGUGCGGGUCCCCGUCAAUUCCUUUGAGUUUUAGCCUUGCGGCCGUACUUCCCAGGCGGCAUACUUAUCGCGUUAGCUUCGUCUCACAGGGGGUCGAUACCCCAUAAGACUAGUAUGCAUCGUUUACGGCGUGGACUAC